RNAcentral lists this ribosomal RNA (1150 nucleotides) under Thalpius sp. nr. rufulus KAO-2001. RNAcentral describes it as "eukaryotic LSU rRNA". It matches the Rfam family "Eukaryotic large subunit ribosomal RNA", at positions 72 to 816 of the family's 3401-position model. The record is from RNAcentral. Lineage: Eukaryota; Metazoa; Arthropoda; Insecta; Coleoptera; Carabidae.
GGAUUCCCUUAAUAGCGGCGAGCGAACAGGGAGGAGCCCAGCACUGAAGCCCAUAAUCGGAAACGGUUAUUGGGCAAUGUAGUGUUUAGGAGUGCCCAAUUAACCUAAUUAUUUUUAAGCGUGUUCAAGUCCUUCUUGAAGGGGGCCAUUUACCCAUAGAGGGUGCCAGGCCCGUAGUAACCGUUUAGUGUAAUUAGGUGGGUUUUCUCCUUAGAGUCGGGUUGCUUGAGAGUGCAGCUCUAAGUGGGUGGUAAACUCCAUCUAAGGCUAAAUAUUACUGCGAAACCGAUAGAAAACAAGUACCGUGAGGGAAAGUUGAAAAGAACUUUGAAGAGAGAGUUCAAUAGUACGUGAAACUGUUCAUGAGUAAACCUAUAAUUCCUAAAAUAUCGAAUAGGGAGAUUCAAUUGUUUAACCGAUUAUAAAUAAUUUGUGGCGUGUACAUUUAUGUACUUUAGAGACAUUAUAUGGCAUAUAAUUAUUAAUUUAAUUAUUUUGUUUAAUAUAAUGCUCCACCAUUGUUAUUAAAUAUAAUCGGGGGCAUGCACUUCUGCCUAUUUUUGUUAAUGUCGUAAGCCAUUGUUAAUAGAUAUUUAAGGUCCGCAAAGGAGACCGUGUUGUUCAGGGAAAGUAAUAAUAAUUUUCGGAUUAUUAUCUUUCUUGUUGGCAAUACGGACUUGUGGUAUCCUGAUAUUCUAUCCCGAUGGUAUAAUAUGAUGAUGAGUCGCUAUGUAUAUAUGAAUUUAUAUUUAUAUAUAUUUAUAGUUGCGUUUUUAAACCUAUAACAAAUAUUUUUAUGUUAAUAUUAUACAGUAAAAUGUAUAAUUGUAGAAAACGGAUAUUUAUGCCGUUUCUACGCAUAUAGUAUUGUUAGUUAUAGUGUUCUUGAACGGAUUCACACAUCAUCGAUUUUACGACUAUCUAUGGUUUUGGGAAAUUAUAGGACCCGUCUUGAAACACGGACCAAGGAGUCUAGCAUAUAUGCAAGUCAUUGGGAUAUAGAAAACCUAAAGGCGAAAUGAAAGUAAAUAUAAUAUUUUUUAUAUUAUUUAAGGGAAGAUGGGUGAUGAUAUUUAUAUUGCCCCGCAUUCCCAGGACGUUGCGUACUCAUUGCGAGUUGUGGCGUACCAAGAGCAUAUACGCUGGGACC